RNAcentral lists this long non-coding RNA (1314 nucleotides) under Callithrix jacchus (white-tufted-ear marmoset). RNAcentral describes it as "lncRNA (ENSCJAG00000071486.1)". Lineage: Eukaryota; Metazoa; Chordata; Mammalia; Primates; Cebidae. The record is from RNAcentral.
GUUGAUAAUCCCUAGUGAAUGUCAUUACCAUAUGCAUUUAGAAUGGGGUAAAAACAUCAGUGUGAGCUGGGAGAGAGGAGAGCAGUCGGUUAUAGUUUUCUUCCAAUGAGGGAACUACAUGGGAGUUAAAGCAGCUCAGAGUCAUUAAAGAUCCAUUGUAAAUAAGAUUUGUGCUCUUUGACAUAGUUUUUUUUUUCCUGCCCACUGUCCAAUGGGGUAUAUUUUCCCCAUGACUCAGUUUUUUCCUUGGAGCAGCCAUUAUAAAACAAUGCAUCAUAUCAAUCACUCAAACUAUUCAAUUAAGAUACAUUUCUUAUGCUUUUGAGUGUAGACUUUCACUUACUCUCAGUUACUUUUCUUCCUCUCUCAUUCUUCCUCUCUCUUAUUUUAUCUAUCUCUUUCUCUGCUUUGCAUUUUCUAGGUUGAACUAUGGGAAAUAUUGAAAGCAGUGCAUUGAAGUAGGUACUAUUCCUGCCAUUCAUUCAUCCAUCCAACAAAAAUCGUUAAGCAUCUAAUGUAUACCUUUUUUACAUUAACCGAUUUCUCUUUGCAGGUCUAUUGCUGAAAUAGCAUUUAGGAACUUUACAUUUGCUUUUUGUUUGUUUAUUUUAUUAUCAUUGUUUUGCUAUAUACCAGAUGAAUUCUUGUCUCCUUAUUGUGGCUGGGGCUGCAAUACAGCUUGUCAAGAACAAACUGUAGAAAAUAGCUUCAUUUCAUAGCAGCUUUUCUCCAAUUUCAUUUGUCUCAGGAUGCAGUAAAAUUGAACAAACACAGCUCAUCCUACAUUCUGAAGAUGGGGUACAUUUAUCAGAAAAGAAAAACUGCCAGAGAGAAUUCACAUCACUGCAGACAGAGAGUAUCAAAUGGCAAAGAAAUGUACCUGACAACUUUUCAGAAAUUUUAAGACUAUUAAAAGAAGAUCAGUUUGGAGUCUUACUGCAAAGUAAGUGCAAAUUCUUUGCUUAAUGACUGUUUUCCUCUUCCUGAGGACUGAACCCUUUGAUAAUUACCAAGAACACAAUAUUUGUUUUUGGAUUUACCAUCUAGAGCUAUGCAAAUAGCGUUAGUUGAUCACUUCUUUUCUUAAAAGUACCUUGGAAAUAUCAUUAAGAGGACUAAUCCUGGAUUCAGUUUGGGGUUCUUACGUUAAUAAACUUCUGGGAAAACCAACAAAAACACACAGGUACAGAAAAAAACAUACAUAAUUCAGGGGUUAAAAGCAGAAGUCCCCAAGGAAUAAGUGAUCAUGCUGUUUUGAGGUACCUCAAUACAAUUCAUAACUGACUUCGCUCUGGGUGAAUGACCCUGUAGUGA